This 256-nucleotide ribosomal RNA is filed under the name uncultured bacterium. RNAcentral describes it as "partial 16S ribosomal RNA". It matches the Rfam family "Bacterial small subunit ribosomal RNA", at positions 524 to 777 of the family's 1533-position model. The record is from RNAcentral.
UACGUAGGAGGCAAGCGUUGUCCGGAAUUACUGGGCGUAAAGCGCGUGUAGGUGGUGGGACAAGUCGGCUGUGAAAACCUCGGGCUUAACUCGAGGCCUGCAGUUGAAACUGUCUAGCUGGAGUGUGGGAGAGGAGAGUGGAAUUCCCGGUGUAGCGGUGAAAUGCGUAGAGAUCGGGAGGAACACCAGUGGCGAAGGGCGGCUACCUGGACCAGCACUGACACUGAGGCACGAAAGCGUGGGGAAGCAAACAGGG